AUCAAACUUUAUCAACAACUGUUUCUCACUAGAACUGAACCUGUAACCAACAAAAAUGCCUUUCAUCACCAUAUUGAUCUGGACGCUGGCUGUAGUGUGUCGAGAAUCUUUUGGGCAGGUGACAGUGACUCAAACUCCCUCAGUGCUGCUCGCUCAGACUGGACAAUCAGUCACUGUAACCUGUACAUUUAACAGAGAUCCAGACUGCUGUUAUUACGGAAAACCUGCUCUCAGCUGGUACUUACAGAAACCUGGAGAAGCUCCUAAACUCCUGAUUUAUUAUACAACCCGUCUCCAGUCAGGAACUCCAUCUAGAUUCAGUGGCAGUGGAUCUAACAGUGAUUUCACUCUGACCAUCAGUGGAGUCCAGACUGAAGAUGCUGCACAUUAUUACUGUCAGAGUUACCACAGUGGUGGUGUGUUCACACAGUGAUAAAGCGUGGUACAAAAACCUGUGUCAGUCAGAGUCACAGUGACUGAACUGAUGCUGCAGCUGCUCAAACACUAUCACUCACUCAACAGAGCAUAUGUUUAUAAAUACUGAAUGAAAUAUAAAGCACUAAAUUUAGUUUUUAACACAAUAAAUACUUAAAUCUACUUUAUCUUUAUUAAAGUUAUCUACGAUUUUAUCUGUGAGGUUGGUAAUGUUCAUGUUCUUGUUUCAUCAUGAAUCUGCAGGUGUUUUCAUGGUUCACUGAGUGAAGUU
Carassius carassius (crucian carp) is the source of this 706-nucleotide non-coding RNA. The record is from the annotation of a RefSeq genome assembly. NCBI's taxonomy places the organism in Eukaryota, Metazoa, Chordata, Actinopteri, Cypriniformes, Cyprinidae.